RNAcentral lists this ribosomal RNA (497 nucleotides) under uncultured bacterium. RNAcentral describes it as "partial 16S ribosomal RNA". It matches the Rfam family "Bacterial small subunit ribosomal RNA", at positions 28 to 507 of the family's 1533-position model. The record is from RNAcentral.
GAUGAACGCUGGCGGCGUGCCUAAUACAUGCAAGUCGAGCGAACAGACGAGGAGCUUGCUCCUUCGACGUUAGCGGCGGACGGGUGAGUAACACGUAGGUAACCUACCUAUAAGACUGGGAUAACUUCGGGAAACCGGAGCUAAUACCGGAUAAUAUUUCGAACCGCAUGGUUCGAUAGUGAAAGAUGGCUUUGCUAUCACUUAUAGAUGGACCUGCGCCGUAUUAGCUAGUUGGUAAGGUAACGGCUUACCAAGGCAACGAUACGUAGCCGACCUGAGAGGGUGAUCGGCCACACUGGAACUGAGGCACGGUCCAGACUCCUACGGGAGGCAGCAGUAGGGAAUCUUCCGCAAUGGGCGAAAGCCUGACGGAGCAACGCCGCGUGAGUGAUGAAGGUCUUCGGAUCGUAAAACUCUGUUAUUAGGGAAGAACAAACGUGUAAGUAACUGUGCACGUCUUGACGGUACCUAAUCAGAAAGCCACGGCUAACUACGUG